RNAcentral lists this ribosomal RNA (1326 nucleotides) under Epiperipatus cratensis. RNAcentral describes it as "partial 18S small subunit ribosomal RNA". It matches the Rfam family "Eukaryotic small subunit ribosomal RNA", at positions 638 to 1418 of the family's 1831-position model. The record is from RNAcentral. Lineage: Eukaryota; Metazoa; Onychophora; Udeonychophora; Euonychophora; Peripatidae.
UUGGAUUUGGGUCGACCGGGCCGCCGGGCCGCCGCCUCCGUGCGGCGAGUUCCCGUGUGUCCCCGGGACCGCACGUUCACCCCCGCAGUGCUCUUAACUGAGUGUCUGCGGUAGCGGGUGACCGAACGUUUACCUUGACAAAACCGGAGUGCUCGAGGCGUGGGCGUUCGCCGCCCGUACGUCCUCGCUGGGAAUAAUGGAAGAGGACCGUUGGUCAAAAAAGGUUUUUUGUCAGAGAGGUUGGAGAGCAAAAAAGUGGUUGUGCUGGUGGGAGGUUACAAAGGGGGGUGACUCCCUUUCUCUCGCUGGUCUUCCUCUUUCUCCUCCUCGAAACCUUCCUCCCCGCGUACCGCACUGUGGAUCGGAUGGCGCUUUAUGGCGGUAAGGGUGGUUYKAGAAAGAAAGGUGAAAGCAGGUGGCCGUUUGCCGGAAGGUGAAAGCUGGAUGGCCGGUCGUCUGUGGAAACCUGGACAUCUUUUUCCCCCUCGCUGUCGUGGCGCUUCCGUACCCUCGGUGUCAGCGGGAGGAGGUCGAAAAUCAAAAUAAAAAAACGUGUCAUGAUUAAGAGGGACGGCCGGGGGCAUUCGUACCGCGGCGCGAGAGGUGAAAUUCUAGGACCGUCGCGAGACGAACGAUAGCGAAAGCAUUUGCCAAGAAUGUUUUCCUUAAUCAAGAACGAAAGUCGGAGGUUCGAAGGCGAUCAGAUACCGCCCUAGUUCCGACCUUAAACCAUGCCGUCCGACCGCCCGCCAGGGUUACUACCGCGACUCGGCGGGCGGUGACUUUCCACCGGGAAACCCUUAAGCUUUCGGGUUCCGGGGGAAGUACGGUCGCAAAGCUGAAACUUAAAGGAAUUGACGGAAGGGCACCACCAGGAGUGGAGCCUGCGGCUUAAUUUGACUCAACACGGGGAACCUCACCCGGCCCGGACACCGCGAGGAUUGACAGAUCGAUAGCUCUUUCUCGAUCCGGUGGGUGGUGGUGCAUGGCCGUUCUUAGUUGGUGGAGCGAUCUGUCUGGUUAAUUCCGAUAACGAACGAGACUCUAGCCGGUUAAGUAGCCCGAGUGGCGUGUUGUUGAUUAAAAAACCGCCCUAGCGGCACUCGGGGCGCUUCUCUGAAGCUGUCUGGCUUUAACUGUGGUGGGACAGGGAGGUGGAAGAUGACGGUCGGGGUCGCGUGUGUCGUGGCUCGGAUCUAGUUUUUUUAACUUCUCUUAAAUCCCGUCGCGUUUCUGCCUUUCACUUCUGAGGACCUCUGUUUGCUUACCUGGGGUAGAUAAAACGUUAACGAGAGUCGGGGGACAGUGGACGUUACUCGUGGAAUG